GUGUCAGCAGCCGCGGUAAUACAGAGGGUGCAAGCGUUAAUCGGAAUUACUGGGCGUAAAGCGUGCGUAGGUGGUUGAUUAAGCUGGAUGUGAAAGCCCCGGGCUUAACCUGGGAACUGCAUUCAGGACUGGUUAACUCGAGUCUGGGAGAGGGUGGUGGAAUUUCCGGUGUAGCGGUGAAAUGCGUAGAUAUCGGAAGGAACAUCAGUGGCGAAGGCGACCGCCUGGCCUAAGACUGACACUGAGGCACGAAAGCGUGGGGAGCAAACAGGAUUAGAAACCCGUGUAGUCC
RNAcentral lists this ribosomal RNA (292 nucleotides) under uncultured bacterium. Its description in RNAcentral is "partial 16S ribosomal RNA". It matches the Rfam family "Bacterial small subunit ribosomal RNA", at positions 505 to 796 of the family's 1533-position model. The record is from RNAcentral.